GGGGCCGGUGGACCGCAGUCGAAGGGUCGUCGGCCUCAUAAGCCGAAGGUGGCCGGGUGAAAUUCCCGCCCCGACCCCA
RNAcentral lists this transfer RNA (79 nucleotides) under Methylococcus capsulatus. Its description in RNAcentral is "tRNA-Met". The record is from RNAcentral. Lineage: Bacteria; Pseudomonadati; Pseudomonadota; Gammaproteobacteria; Methylococcales; Methylococcaceae. RNAcentral also lists the same sequence under 1 other name.